GAGGUCUUAGCUUAAUUAAAGUGCCUGAGUUGCAGUUAGGUGAUGCAGUUUAAAAUUCUGCAGGUCUU
This 68-nucleotide transfer RNA is filed under the name Lygodactylus stevensoni (Stevenson's dwarf gecko). Its description in RNAcentral is "tRNA-Ala". It matches the Rfam family "tRNA". From Rfam's summary of the family: Transfer RNA (tRNA) molecules are approximately 80 nucleotides in length. The record is from RNAcentral. Lineage: Eukaryota; Metazoa; Chordata; Lepidosauria; Squamata; Gekkonidae.